This is a non-coding RNA of Biomphalaria pfeifferi, 273 nucleotides long. The record is from the annotation of a GenBank genome assembly. Lineage: Eukaryota; Metazoa; Mollusca; Gastropoda; Planorbidae.
UUGUCAAUCAAUCUAAAAUACAGUUUUAUUGAUGUAUUAUUCAAUGGAUGAAAUAGAUGCUACACUAUGUACAGCAAUUACACUGUUGAAGUUUGAAGUAAACAUUGAAAGUAGCUCUAGUACAAACCUAACAAUUAUUUGGUACAUUGUUUGAUUUUUAAAUGGUCUAGCUUGAGAGUUGGGGGUCAAAUGUUACAAAGAACAUCAUUAAAGUAAAAGUACCUUCAACAUUCAAAUAUUAAACUGUUAACCCCCCCCCCCCCCCCCCCCCCC